CGGGAAACUGAGCGCAAUAGCGGAUAUAACUCUCAGGCGUGAGUGCCGAGAGUUAGAAACGUUCCGGCGCUGUAGGAUGUGGCUGCGGCCGAUUAGGUAGAUGGUGGGGUAACGGCCCACCAUGCCGAUAAUCGGUACAGGUUGUGAGAGCAAGAGCCUGGAGACGGUAUCUGAGACAAGAUACCGGGCCCUACGGGGCGCAGCAGGCGCGAAACCUUUACACUGCACGACAGUGCGAUAGGGGGACUCCGAGUGUGAGGGCAUAUAGCCCUCGCUUUUCUGNACCGUAAGGUGGUACAGGAACAAGGACUGGGCAAGACCGGUGCCAGCCGCCGCGGUAAUACCGGCAGUCCAAGUGAUGGCCGAUAUUAUUGGGCCUAAAGCGUCCGUAGCUUGCUGUGUAAGUCCAUUGGGAAAUCGACCAGCUCAACUGGUCGGCGUCCGGUGGAAACUACACAGCUUGGGGCCGAGAGACUCAACGGGUACGUCCGGGGUAGGAGUGAAAUCCUGUAAUCCUGGACGGACCACCAAUGGGGAAACCACGUUGAGAGACCGGACCCGACAGUGAGGGACGAAAGCCAGGGUCUCGAACCGGGAUUAGAUACCCGGGUAGUCCUGGCUGUAAACAAUGCUCGCUAGGUUUGUCACGCGCCAUGAGCACGUGAUGUGCCGUANUGAAGACGAUAAGCGAGCCGCCUGGGAAGUACGUCCCCCAGGAUGAAACUUAAAGGAAUUGGCGGGGGANCCCCACCAACCGGAAGNACCCUGCGGUUUUAUUUG
Molecule: ribosomal RNA, 780 nt
Filed under: Haloarcula sp. 4TK1
Lineage: Archaea; Methanobacteriati; Methanobacteriota; Halobacteria; Halobacteriales; Haloarculaceae
Description: bacterial SSU rRNA
Rfam family: Archaeal small subunit ribosomal RNA
Source: RNAcentral